AUGUUUCACUUGACGCGCUGGCCCACCCUUCCUUGCGCGUUCCACUCCCGUCGCCGUCUCCAGAAUCCCCCAUCCGACCGGACGGACCCGCUGGUCGCAGCGCACACGCGCAGCGUCGCCCGCUCCCCAAAUUCAAAUUUCGAAUCGCCCCGCAGCCCCCCUUCCAGCCCGUCCACUUUAAACCCCACCCCAUUCCCCUUCCCCUCCCCCAGAUCCCCAAUUCCAACCCCCACCCCCGCAUUCCGCCCCACCACCAAAACCCUAGCGCGCACACAACCUCUGUGUGCCGCCAUGCCGCCCGCCGCGAAGAAGCCGCCGCUGAAGUCCAGCUCCUCGCACAACUCCGCCGCGGGGGAUGCCGCCGGGAAGACCAUCGAGGAGAUGUACCAGAAGAAGACCCAGCUGGAGCACAUCCUGCUGCGCCCGGACACCUACGUCGGCUCCAUCGAGAAGCACACGGCGACGCUCUGGGUCUACGAGGACGGCGCCAUGGUGAACCGGCCCGUCACCUACGUCCCCGGCCUCUACAAGAUCUUCGACGAGAUCCUCGUCAACGCCGCCGACAACAAACAGCGCGACCCCUCCAUGGACUCCCUCAAGGUCGACAUCGACGUCGAGGGGUGCUGCAUCUCCAUCUACAACAACGGGGACGGCGUGCCCGUCGAAAUCCACCAGGAGGAGAAAAUCUACGUGCCGGAGCUCAUCUUCGGCAAUCUCCUCACAAGCAGCAACUACGACGAUAACGAGCGGAAGACCACCGGCGGGAGGAACGGCUACGGUGCCAAACUCGCCAACAUCUUCUCCACGGAGUUCGUCAUCGAGACCGCUGAUGGGCGCCGACAGAAGAGGUACAAGCAGGUUUUCUCCGAGAACAUGGGCAAGAAGUCGGAGCCUGAGAUUAAAAAGUGCAAGCAGUCGGAGAACUGGACUAAAGUUACCUUCAAGCCUGAUCUUGAAAAGUUCAAAAUGACUGAGCUCGAAGCAGAUGUUGUGGCACUCAUGAUGAAGCGAGUGGUUGACAUGGCGGGCACCCUUGGCAAAACCGUGAAGGUUGAGUUGAAUGGCGAGAAGGUGGCAGUAAAAAGCUUCUCGGAUUACGUGCAACUGUAUAUCGACUCUGCUUCCAAAGAAGGAAUCAAGCUUCCAAGAAUUUACCAAAAGGUAAAUGAUCGCUGGGAGGUGUGUGUGAGUCUAAGUGAAGGCCAGUUCCAGCAGGUCAGUUUUGUAAAUGGAAUUGCGACCAUAAAAGGUGGAACUCACGUUGACUACGUUGCAAGCCAAAUUGCCAGCCAUGUGAUGGGUGUUGUGAACAAGAAGAACAAGCAGGCUAACAUGAAGUUGCAUAUAGUGAAGGGCUACCUAUGGGUAUUUGUUAAUGCGCUCAUUGACAACCCUGCAUUUGACUCACAGACCAAAGAGACCUUGACGACUCGUCAAGGAAGCUUUGGGUCCACGUGCGAGCUCCCUGAAGAUUUCCUUAAGAAGGUCUCUAGCUCGGGUGUUGUUGACAGUCUCCUUUCUUGGGCUGAGUUCAAACUAAGCAAGGAACUUAAGAAGACUGAUGGAACCAAGAAGACAAGUAUUGUUGGCAUCCCUAAACUGGAGGAUGCAAAUGAUGCUGGUGGGAAGAACUCUGACCAGUGCACCUUGAUCCUUACUGAAGGAGAUUCGGCAAAGGCUUUAGCUAUGGCUGGCAUAGGUGUAGUAGGAAGGGAUCACUAUGGUGUGUUUCCUCUCAGGGGUAAAUUAUUAAAUGUGAGGGAAGCAAGCCAUAAGCAGUUGAUGGAGAAUGCGGAGAUCCAAAAUAUAAAGAAAAUAUUAGGUCUGCAGCAUGAAAAAAAGUAUGAUAGCACGAAAGGCUUGAGAUAUGGCCACCUCAUGAUAAUGACAGAUCAGGACCAUGAUGGUUCCCACAUCAAAGGGUUGCUGAUCAAUUUCAUUCACAAAGAGUGGCCAUCUCUCCUCAAAGUUCCUUCUUUCUUGGUUGAGUUCAUCACUCCAAUUAUCAAGGCAACCAAGGGCAAAACUGUCCGUCCAUUUUACUCAAUGCCAGAUUAUGAAGCAUGGAAAGAGUCCUUAGGAGCAAGUGCAAGUUCGUGGACUAUAAAGUACUACAAGGGGCUGGGGACCAGCACAGCUGAAGAAGGCCGGGAUUACUUUGAACAAAUUUCCCUUCACAAGAAGGAUUUUGUCUGGGCGGAUGACAAAGAUGGUGAAGCUAUUGAGCUAGCGUUCAGCAAGAAAAAGAUCACUGAGAGGAAGGAUUGGCUGACCAACUACCAGCCUGGUACUUGUCUUGACCAACGUGAGAAACGCAUCAAGUACAGUGAUUUUAUCAACAAAGAGCUGAUACUCUUCUCGAUGGCAGACCUUGAACGGUCAAUACCUUCAAUGGUCGACGGCUUUAAGCCAGGACAGAGGAAGAUUUUGUUUUGCUCGUUCAAGAAGAAUUUGGUUAAAGAAUCUAAGGUGGCACAAUUUAUUGGCUAUGUGUCAGAACACUCAGCAUACCACCACGGUGAGCAGAGUCUAGCAAGCACAAUUGUAGGAAUGGCUCAGGAUUUUGUUGGCAGCAAUAAUAUUAAUCUUUUGGAACCCCGUGGCCAAUUUGGUACCAGAAAUGCGGGGGGCAAAGAUGCUGCUAGUGCUAGGUACAUCUUCACCAGAUUAAAUCCUAUCACCCGCUUAAUUUUUCCGAAGGAUGAUGAUGUUCUGCUGAACUAUUUGAAUGAAGAUGGGCAGUCAAUUGAACCCAGCUGGUAUAUGCCAAUCAUUCCCAUGGUUUUGGUCAAUGGAAGUGAAGGCAUUGGCACUGGAUGGAGCACCUAUGUCCCAAACUACAAUCCAAGAGACAUUAUUGCUAAUCUGAAAAGGUUGCUAAAUGGGGAGACAAUUGUACCAAUGGUUCCUUGGUACAGGGGGUUCAAGGGCUCUUUGAAGGAGACAAGUACAAAGGCAACUGGUGUGACAUAUACCAUCACUGGUGUUAUAGAGGAAGUUGCUGACACCAAGCUUAAAAUUACUGAGCUUCCCGUCCGCCGCUGGACUACAGAUUACAAAGAAUUUCUUGAAUCCAUGUGUCCUAUUCCUAUAAAGGAAAAGGAAAAGAGCAAGGACAAGAACAAGGAAAAGAAGAAGGAAAAGGACAAGGACAAGGACAAGGAAAAGGAAAAGAGCAAGGAACCACCGUUGUUGGAGGAAAUAAGGUCGCAGUGUGAUCAUGCGGAUGUGGAAUUUGAGCUUAUACUGACUGAGCAAAACAUGAAUAUAGCUAAGCAAGAAGGCCUUGAGAAGAAAUUCAAGCUGACUACCACAAUAGGAACAACAAACAUGCACUUGUUUGACUCACAUGGUAAAAUCAAAAAAUAUGACAACCCAGAGGAUGUACUUCAAGAGUUCUUCGAUUUGAGGUUUAAAUUCUAUAUCAAACGGAAGAAAGUAAUGUUGGAAAACAUGGGGCAAGAGUUGCUGAAGUAUCAGAACAAAGUUAGGUUUAUUCUUGCUGUUACUUCUGGGGAAAUCAUAGUCAAUAACAGGAAGAGGGCAGACCUAUUCCAGGAGCUGCAGAAGAAGAACUAUACACCUUUCCCAAAGAAAAAACCCACGUCCGGGCCAGUUGCUGUAGGAUCUACAGAAGCAGAUGAAGAUAAUGAUGAGAGUCCUGCUGAAGCUGCAGCAAGUGAUUAUGAGUAUCUUCUUGCAAUGUCAAUUGGUACCUUGACUAUGGAGAAGGUGAAGGAGCUCAUUGCGCAGCAGAAUAAGGUAGAGGCUGAUCUUGAAAUCCUGCGUAACACAGAGCCAAAAACUCUUUGGCUGAGAGACCUUGACGCUCUUGAGAAGGAACUGGAUGUGCUUGAUGCAAAACUUGAAGCUGAACAGAACGACAGAUCACGCAAGCGCGCCAAAAAUUCUGAAAAGGCGAGGGACCCUAAGCCAGCAACCAAGAAACAGCCUAAGAAGGCUACAGCCAAAUCGCAGAAGGCUGGGAGUGAUGAUGAUGUUGAUUAUAAAGGAGACAUUCUGAAACCUGCUGCACAAAAGAAGAAACCACCACCCAAGAAGGCAAGUGCACCGGUGAAAGAUGAGGUGAAAGAUGAAGAGGACGAAGUGGCUGAGCUGAAAGACCGCCUGGCUGCUUAUAAUAUUCAUAGUGACAACUCUCCAGAACCCAGUGCCAUGGAAACAGAAGAACAUCAGGAAGGAAAGAAAGGGAGGAACGGACCAAGCAAAAGAGGCGCAGCAAAGAAGGCUAUGUCAUCCUUAGCUGAGAUUUCUGAUGAAGACAUUGCAGAGCCCCACCAUGAGAGCGAGGAUGGUGGGUCUUCCAUGGAAGUUGAGAAGAAAACUAAAGGAAGAAAGCCUGCCGCUGAGAAGCCGAAGACUACCAUCAGGAAGAGGGCGCCAACUCAGAGCAAAGGGAUGAGGCAGAAAGUGAUGGAAGAAAUAUUCAAGCCUACUGAUGACAGUACCCUCAGUGCUCCUUCUCCUGAGAAGAAGGUGCGAAGGAUCAGAGACUCCCCCUUCAACAAGAAGAGCGGCUCGGUUCUGCACAGAAUGGCGAGCUCUUCAACAGGGACAGAAGAUGCUGAGGCUCCUCCCUCCGGCAGCUCUGCUGAGACAGUUGUACCGAGAAGGACAACAAGGGAGAGGAAGGCGGCAGUAGUCUACGUCGCUUCUGAAAGCGAAGAUGAUGAGUCUGAGGAUGAAGAUGUGUCAGAGCCAAGUGACGAUGAUGACUUCUCCGAAGAUGACUAG
This 4755-nucleotide ribosomal RNA is filed under the name Triticum aestivum (bread wheat). Its description in RNAcentral is "partial small subunit ribosomal RNA". The record is from RNAcentral. Lineage: Eukaryota; Viridiplantae; Streptophyta; Magnoliopsida; Poales; Poaceae.